Long non-coding RNA from Oncorhynchus keta (chum salmon), 1087 nucleotides. RefSeq lists it as uncharacterized. The record is from RefSeq and is a predicted model, not a curated record. The transcript is spliced from 4 exons. Lineage: Eukaryota; Metazoa; Chordata; Actinopteri; Salmoniformes; Salmonidae.
GUGUGAAGUUGCUGGAUACUGGUGGGAACUGGAAUACGCUGUCGUACACAUUGAUCUAGAGCAUCCCAAACUUGAUCAAUGGGUGACAUGUCUGGGCACUCUGUUCACAACAUUGACAUCAACUGCUUGCCUACACGAUACACGCUUUCUGCCAUCUGCCCGAUACAGUUGAGACCAGGAUUCAUCAGUGAAGAGCAUGGUUCUCCAGCGUGCCAGUAGCUAUCAAAGGUGAGCAUUUGCCCACUGAAGUUGGUUAUGAAGCCGAACUGCAGUCAGGUCAAGACCCUGGUGAGGACAACGAGCACACAGAUGAGCUUCCCUGAGACGGUUCUGUCAAUUUGUGCAGACAUUUUUCAGUUGUGCAAACCCACAGUUUCAUCAGCUGUCCUGGUACCUGGUCUAAGACGAUCUAGCAGGUGAAGUAGCCGGAUUUGGAGGUCCUGGGCUAGCAUGGUUACACAAGGUCUGCGGUUGUGAGGCCAGUUGGACGUACUGCCAAAUUCUCUAAAACAACGUUGGAGGCGGCUUAUGGUGGAAGAAGAUGAGAAUGAGAGGAAGCCUCCAAACGCCUUAAACCAGAGUCAGGAAAUGCACCCACAUCCACAACUGCUCUACUAGGCCCAAGGGAAUCCAGAACUAGAAGCAGAGAUGAGAGCUCAGGCUGAGCACUCCUACCUGGAGACGGUGCUGUGGAGGUGGCAGAGGAUGCUGGGGGGCCAGAGGGACGAGAUGAGGAGGCUGAAGACUGACAUGAAGAGGGAGACAGAGAGCUUGCAGACUCUGCUCGCUGGCCUCUUGAAGAUCUGGGGGUGGAGGCAGAGAGAAAUGAAAAUUAAAUGCGGGUUAGUUCAAUUGUCUGAAAAUGUAACCCCAGUUUGAGGUGGCGCCGAACCGCUCUGCCAAGUUCCUGAAGGAGAACAACAAGCUGAGCUGCCUGCUUCGCAUGGUGGAGUCCUUGGUGGCCGACCUGCAGCCCCUGCUCACCUACCACCAGGUCCUUGUGGAGGACACCAUGAAGGACAACUCCAUAUAACACAAGAUGUAAAAAGAACUCUGAAGGACUGAUAAAUAAAAGUUUCUGAUUGUG